GACGAACGCUGGCGGCGUGCUUAACACAUGCAAGUCGAACGAUGAAGCUGGAGCUUGCUCCGGUGGAUUAGUGGCGAACGGGUGAGUAACACGUGAGCAAUCUGCCCUUGACUCCGGGAUAACUGCGGGAAACUGUAGCUAAUACCGGAUAUGAGGCUCGAAGGCAUCUUCGGGUCUGGAAAGAAUUUCGGUCAAGGAUGAGCUCGCGGCCUAUCAGCUUGUUGGUGAGGUAAUGGCUCACCAAGGCGACGACGGGUAGCCGGCCUGAGAGGGUGACCGGCCACACUGGGACUGAGACACGGCCCAGACUCCUACGGGAGGCAGCAGUGGGGAAUAUUGCACAAUGGGCGAAAGCCUGAUGCAGCAACGCCGCGUGAGGGAUGAAGGCCUUCGGGUUGUAAACCUCUUUUAGCAGGGAAGAAGCGAAAGUGACGGUACCUGCAGAAAAAGCACCGGCUAACUACGCGCCAGCCGCCGCCGUAA
RNAcentral lists this ribosomal RNA (483 nucleotides) under uncultured bacterium. Its description in RNAcentral is "partial 16S ribosomal RNA". It matches the Rfam family "Bacterial small subunit ribosomal RNA", at positions 28 to 523 of the family's 1533-position model. The record is from RNAcentral.